This 370-nucleotide transfer-messenger RNA is filed under the name Candidatus Yanofskybacteria bacterium RIFCSPHIGHO2_01_FULL_39_8b. It matches the Rfam family "transfer-messenger RNA". From Rfam's summary of the family: Bacterial tmRNA, also known as 10Sa RNA or SsrA, is named for its dual tRNA and mRNA-like properties. Its role is to liberate the mRNA from a stalled ribosome. RNAcentral also lists the same sequence under 1 other name. Lineage: Bacteria; Candidatus Yanofskyibacteriota. The record is from RNAcentral.
GGGGAUGUAAGUUUCGACAGGGUUCGUUUCAAAUUACAUGCAAGUAGCGGAUGGGUAUCACCGCUUUAAUCACUGCCUAAAUUUAUAAUUGCCAAAAACAAUUAUUCAGGCGCCUUAGCUUUCGCUUGAGCGCCCGGCCAGCUUAGCUGGCCACGUUCUCUUAAGGAUUCUCGCUACUUAAGAAGAACGACAUUAGCGGGAUACCGUUUAUGGGGUCUUGGUGUGUUCUAAGCCAUGAGCGGGAAUUUAGCUAGAAUGCUGGUCCGAUGUUUUUGCUAGCUUUAAAGUCGGACAAUAAUAAACUAGCUAAACUUGUAGAGUAUAGUUUGAUAUAACUUUGGACGAGGGUUCAAUCCCUCCAUCUCCACAC